AGGAGAUAAUGGAAGUCAAAUGCUUGCACACAUUUUACAGCCCUUCCUCUUUAUCCUCCUCUCUUAUCAGUAGCAAAGAAGAAAAAGAGUUUGUAUAGAAGGGACUUUCCUGGAGAUGGCUGGAAUAACUCGAGGGAGAGUAGCAAUGGUUCAGAAAGGUUCACUUUUUUUUUUUUUUUUAAUGAUUCUAUCAACAUUGUGUAGGAGAAGGUGCAAACUGUAACAAAAUUACUUUGGCUUGAAGGCAAAUGGGAAGAGAAAGGGGAAUCUGGGAAAGGACCUAAUUUUUCCAGGUUUUUUCCUCCUUUAAAGUCUUCCUCCUUUCUCUUCCCCUCCCCUCCCAUUGUUGCCAAGAAUCAGAGCAAUUGCUGUAUAUGUGCACCAGUGGGGGUUGGAGUGGAUAUAAGAUCUUGGCGUAUACAGAAGGGCUGCAUGGAAAAUGGCUGUUCACAGAGAUACGAUCAAUCUUUUCUCGUCGUUAUCUUUUGCAAAAUACAGCCCUGGAGAUCUUUAUGGCAAACAGAGUUGCUGUAAUGUUCAACUUCCCAGACCCAGCAACAGUAAAGAAAGUGGUUAACUAUCUACCUCGUGUUGGCGUUGGAACAAGUUUUGGAUUGCCUCAAACCAGGCGUAUUUCAUUAGCUAGUCCACGUCAGCUUUUUAAGGCUUCUAAUAUGACCCAGCGAUGGCAACACAGAGAGAUUUCUAAUUUUGAGUACUUGAUGUUUCUCAACACGAUAGCAGGACGGAGUUAUAAUGACUUAAAUCAGUAUCCAGUGUUUCCUUGGGUCAUCACUAAUUAUGAAUCAGAAGAACUGGAUCUUACCUUGCCCACCAACUUCAGAGAUUUGUCCAAGCCAAUAGGAGCUCUGAACCCAAAAAGAGCAGCCUUCUUCGCUGAGCGUUAUGAAUCAUGGGAAGACGAUCAAGUUCCAAAGUUUCACUAUGGUACUCAUUACUCAACUGCAAGUUUUGUUCUUGCAUGGCUGCUAAGAAUAGAACCCUUUACAACUUAUUUCCUAAAUUUGCAAGGAGGCAAAUUUGAUCAUGCCGAUCGAACUUUUUCAUCAAUUUCCAGAGCUUGGCGAAACAGUCAGCGUGAUACAUCUGAUAUUAAGGAGUUGAUCCCUGAAUUUUAUUAUCUCCCUGAGAUGUUUGUCAACUUCAAUAAUUAUAAUCUUGGAGUGAUGGAUGAUGGGACAGUAGUGUCUGAUGUCGAACUUCCUCCUUGGGCCAAAACCUCAGAAGAAUUUGUUCACAUAAACAGAUUGGCCCUGGAGAGUGAAUUUGUUUCCUGCCAGCUUCACCAAUGGAUUGAUCUCAUUUUUGGCUAUAAACAGCAAGGACCAGAAGCUGUCCGAGCCCUCAAUGUGUUCUAUUACUUGACCUAUGAAGGAGCUGUCAAUCUGAAUUCAAUAACUGAUCCUGUGUUGAGAGAGGCUGUUGAAGCUCAAAUCCGAAGUUUUGGACAGACUCCUUCUCAACUACUCAUAGAGCCCCAUCCUCCCAGAGGUUCUGCCAUGCAAGUGUAUCUCCUCCUGCAGAGUCCAUUGAUGUUCACAGACAAAGCCCAGCAGGAUGUUAUCAUGGUCCUCAAGUUUCCCUCCAACUCCCCUGUUACUCACGUGGCAGCCAACACCCAGCCUGGUUUGGCAACUCCUGCUGUGAUCACAGUUACUGCUAACAGGUUAUUUGCAGUGAACAAAUGGCACAACCUUCCUGCUCAUCAAGGUGCUGUACAAGACCAGCCAUACCAGCUGCCAGUGGAAAUCGAUCCUCUCAUAGCCAGCAAUACAGGAAUGCACAGGAGGCAAAUCACUGACCUUUUAGACCAAAGUAUUCAAGUGCAUUCCCAGUGCUUUGUCAUCACUUCAGACAACCGCUAUAUUCUCGUCUGUGGCUUCUGGGAUAAGAGUUUCAGAGUCUAUUCUACAGACACAGGAAGAUUGAUCCAAGUGGUGUUUGGCCAUUGGGAUGUCGUCACUUGCCUUGCUCGUUCUGAGUCAUAUAUUGGGGGAAAUUGCUACAUUCUCUCAGGGUCACGUGAUGCAACUCUUUUGCUGUGGUAUUGGAAUGGAAAAUGCAGUGGGAUUGGAGAUAACCCAGGCAGUGAGACUGCUGCUCCUCGGGCCAUUUUGACAGGCCAUGACUAUGAGGUCACAUGUGCUGCGGUGUGUGCCGAGCUAGGCCUGGUGUUGAGUGGUUCACAAGAAGGACCAUGUCUCAUACAUUCCAUGAAUGGAGACUUGUUGAGGACCUUGGAGGGUCCUGAAAACUGCCUGAAACCAAAACUCAUUCAGGCUUCAAGAGAGGGUCAUUGUGUCAUAUUCUAUGAAAAUGGCCUCUUCUGUACAUUCAGUGUGAAUGGAAAACUCCAGGCCACGAUGGAAACAGAUGAUAACAUAAGAGCCAUCCAGCUGAGCCGAGAUGGGCAGUACCUGCUCACAGGAGGAGACAGAGGAGUGGUCGUGGUCCGGCAGGUGUCGGACCUCAAGCAGCUCUUUGCCUAUCCAGGAUGCGACGCUGGAAUCCGGGCCAUGGCGCUGUCUUACGACCAGAGGUGCAUCAUUUCUGGCAUGGCUUCAGGAAGCAUUGUGCUAUUUUACAACGACUUUAACCGGUGGCAUCAUGAAUACCAAACCCGCUACUGAUGGUGACAGCUGUACAUCAACUCUGCCCCUAGGAUGAGCAGAAGUACCUGAAGCAUCAUUCUCUUCUACCACAUCUGAAUGUAACUUAAAUUUGCUCAAAGAAGCAAAAUAUUUUUUAAAGUUAUUAAUAAUUGCUAUUUUUGUAGUCUUUGCUUGACUUUUUUGGGGGGGAUUAGCAAAGCAGAAAACUGGCUGCUGGGUUCUGUAGUUUUAAAAAAUCUAUAUUUUUAGUCAUAAUGAGAAGUCUAUUUUCACCAAUUAUGGAAACAUACAGUGGAGCAAGUAAACCACUUAUUCCAGCUAUAAUAUUAUGAAGAACAUUUCCCAUGCAUCUACAAGCUUGAGAAAUAGGAUUUUCACAGUGGGGAAGUGGGUUAUAAUAUUGGAAUAGGAAAAUUUGAUGCUGUAAUUUGGGUCCUGUAUUUUUCCAAACAACUGUGCUUCUUCAGCACUAAUAUUUCUGGGAUUUAAAUAGUAAUGUUUAAAUUAUGGUAAAUGUAAUUUAAAACAUCUCAAUUAAUUCUAUCAAUAUUAUUCUUCAAGCAUGUUUUAGACCUAGAAAAGUAUGGUUUGGGGGAGGCUAUUUUAUUGUGUGGUUAGCACAGGAAUCUAAUUUAUAGCAAGUGUGAAAUAGUUUCCAUUUUUUCCUGAUCUGUCAUCUUCAUAGCACAACAAAAUGAAAUGAUGGCAAUGCUCUUGAGCUCACAACAUUUGUUUUUCUUUUAAAAAGUAAAUGCAAGUACCAAAGCUCACUACUGCGGUUUGCCUGUGCCGGGACAAUGAGGCGGAGCCACUGUUGGGGCACCCCCUUCCCUCCCCGGGUUUGCAAAUAGAGGCUACCAGGUGCUGUAUUCAGCAACACCUGUUUUACUAUUUGUUAUUAAACUAUCUAUCUAUCUCCACCUUCCUUUUGAUUAGCAAUUUGUACUAAGAAACAAUGUUAUUUGGUGUUGUAUAAUUCUACUUUUCUAGUAGAUUACUGUGUAGAAUUCUGUGAAAAAUAUUUGAGAAAAGGCCUGUAUUGCAUAAAUAAAUUCUUUGUAUGUUGUGAA
Molecule: small RNA, 3703 nt
Filed under: Pongo abelii (Sumatran orangutan)
Lineage: Eukaryota; Metazoa; Chordata; Mammalia; Primates; Hominidae
Description: processed transcript
Source: RNAcentral